AGUGAACGCUGGCGGUAGGCCUAACACAUGCAAGUCGAACGGCAGCACAGUAAGAGCUUGCUCUUACGGGUGGCGAGUGGCGGACGGGUGAGGAAUACAUCGGAAUCUACUUUUUCGUGGGGGAUAACGUAGGGAAACUUACGCUAAUACCGCAUACGACCUACGGGUGAAAGCAGGGGAACUUCGGACCUUGCGCGAAUGGAUGAGCCGAUGUCGGAUUAGCUAGUUGGCGGGGUAAAGGCCCACCAAGGCGACGAUCCGUAGCUGGUCUGAGAGGAUGGUCGGCCACAUUGGAACUGGGACACGGUCCAGGCUCCUACGGGAGGCAGCAGUGGGGAAUAUUGGACAAUGGGCGCAAGCCUGAUCCAGCCAGACCGCGUGGGUGAAGAAGGCCUUCGGGUUGUAAAGCCCUUUUGUUGGGAAAGAAAAGCAGCAGGUUAAUACCCCGCUGUUCUGACGGUACCCAAAGAAUAAGCACCGGCUAACUUCGUG
This 492-nucleotide ribosomal RNA is filed under the name uncultured bacterium. RNAcentral describes it as "partial 16S ribosomal RNA". It matches the Rfam family "Bacterial small subunit ribosomal RNA", at positions 29 to 507 of the family's 1533-position model. The record is from RNAcentral.